Molecule: long non-coding RNA, 288 nt
Filed under: Elaeis guineensis (African oil palm)
Lineage: Eukaryota; Viridiplantae; Streptophyta; Magnoliopsida; Arecales; Arecaceae
Description: long non-coding RNA (EGUI_LNC063324)
Source: RNAcentral
UCAGUGCAGGGGUAAAACGAUAAUUUUAAAAUUUUUUCAAAAUUAUAAUUUUAUAGUGGAAAUUAUUAAUUAAUCUAAUUAAUUAACAUGUAUUAAUCCUAUACAAGGAUCUAAAUAUGAUAUAUAUAGCAUAUAUUUAAAUUUAAAAUUUUGAAUUCUACAGUAAACAUUUUACUGUUAUGUGUUCAGAACAUAUUACCUUCGUGCAAGUAGUCGAUCACUGUAGUCUGACACCGUCAGGAUAGUCUGAUCAUUGCAAUGUAGCCACACAGUAUGUCUGACCUCUAC